UACAGAGGGGGCAAGCGUUGUUCGGAAUUACUGGGCGUAAAGCGUGCGCAGGCGGUCUUGCAAGACAGAUGUGAAAUCCCCGGGCUCAACCUGGGAACUGCAUUUGUGACUGCAAGGCUGGAGUACGGUAGAGGGGGAUGGAAUUCCGCGUGUAGCAGUGAAAUGCGUAGAUAUGCGGAGGAACACCGAUGGCGAAGGCAAUCCCCUGGACCUGUACUGACGCUCAUGCACGAAAGCGUGGGGAGCAAACAGG
RNAcentral lists this ribosomal RNA (253 nucleotides) under uncultured bacterium. RNAcentral describes it as "partial 16S ribosomal RNA". It matches the Rfam family "Bacterial small subunit ribosomal RNA", at positions 524 to 776 of the family's 1533-position model. The record is from RNAcentral.